CCUACGGUGGGCAGCAGUGAGGAAUAUUGGUCAAUGGGCGCGAGCCUGAACCAGCCAAGUAGCGUGAAGGAUGACUGCUCUACGGGUUGUAAACUUAUUUUAUAAAGGAUUAAAGUGAGGCACGUGUGCCUUUUUGUAUGUACUUUAUGAAUAAGGAUCGGCUAACUCCGUGCCAGCAGCCGCGGUACUACGGAGGUUCCGAGCGUUAUCCGGAUUUAUUGGGUUUAAAGGGAGCGUAGAUGGGUUGUUUGGUCAGUUGUGAAAGUUUGCGGCUCAACCGUAGAAGUGCAAUUGAUACUGGCAGUCUUGAGUACAGUUGAGGUAGGCGGAAUUCGUGGUGUAGCGGUGAAAUGCUUAGAUAUCACGAAGAACUCCGAUUGCGAAGGCAGCUUACUAAACUGCCACUGACAUUGAGGCUCGAAAGUGUGGGUAUCAAACAGGAUUAGAUACCCCUGUAGUC
This 460-nucleotide ribosomal RNA is filed under the name uncultured bacterium. RNAcentral's name for it is "partial 16S ribosomal RNA". It matches the Rfam family "Bacterial small subunit ribosomal RNA", at positions 338 to 795 of the family's 1533-position model. The record is from RNAcentral.